UCCUUGAUGGUUCAGAUGGUAAAGAAUCUGCCUGUAAUGCAGGAGACCCGGGUUCAAUCCCUGGGUCAGGAA
Molecule: transfer RNA, 72 nt
Filed under: Ovis aries (sheep)
Lineage: Eukaryota; Metazoa; Chordata; Mammalia; Artiodactyla; Bovidae
Rfam family: tRNA
About the family: Transfer RNA (tRNA) molecules are approximately 80 nucleotides in length. Their secondary structure includes four short double-helical elements and three loops (D, anti-codon, and T loops).
Source: Rfam by way of RNAcentral